AUGGUGCUGGUCCCCACCCACCACUUCAGAGACUUUGAGAGGAAACCAGAGUACCCAUAGCUGGAGAUGCCUGUCCGACCUCCCUACCCUGGUCCUAUGAGAACCAUGUGGCUUAUCCACGAUGGCUGUGGCAUCGCCUGUGCCAUCAUCACCUGGUUUCUGGUCCUCUAUGCGGAGUUUGUGGUCCUCUUUUUCAUGCUGAUUCCAUCCGGAGACUAUGCUUACAGCACCAUCAAUGGAAUUGUGUUCAACCUGCUGACUUUCUUGGCCCUGGCCUCCCACUGCCAGGCCAUGCUGACAGACACCGGAGCAGUGCCCAAAUGAAAUGCCACAAAUAAUUCAUCCAGAGUUUACAGAUGAAGCCCAGGCAUGUGGUAUACUCGUGUCCCAGUGCUGCAGCCUCAAGCCUGACCCAGCCUGCCGCUGCAGUGUUUGUAAGGGGUGCAUUCGUAGGGUGGACCCCCACUGUCCCUGGGUCAACAUCUGCAUCGAAGAGAACAACCAGAAGUGCUUUGUCCUGCCUAUCAUGUGCACAGCUCUCAUUUCCUUGCCUGCCCUCAUCAUGGUGGAUUACACUUCCUGGAUUGUUGUGAAGAAGAUUACUCAAAUCUCCCGAAGCCUAUGAACUGAACAGGGAAGGAAUGGCAGAUGCCUGUAUCUCUCCUCAUGAAAAAAUGCAGCCCUUUUAAGUCAGUUUGACAGAGUGUAGCUCCUUCUUUCCACCCACCACGGUGGUCUUCCUCAUCCCACUGUGCUUUGAGGGGCUGCUCUUCAUUUUCACAUCAGUGAUGUUUGGGACCCAGGUGCACUCCAUCUGCAUGGAGGAAAUGGCUGUAGGACAAUUGAAAAAGGAAGAGAGAAGAUGGGCUAAGAAACCAAAAUGGAUGAACAUGACAUUUACCAUGAACAGACAUCUGUCUGGCAUGACUGUUUUUGGCUACCCCUUCUCUCUAGGCAGAUGGAGACUUUUUGCCAUGCCAGAUCAAGGGAAGGCAGGCCCAUACCAGUGUGAAGUCUGAA
Molecule: long non-coding RNA, 1020 nt
Filed under: Homo sapiens (human)
Lineage: Eukaryota; Metazoa; Chordata; Mammalia; Primates; Hominidae
Description: non-protein coding lnc-LNPEP-7:1
Source: RNAcentral